This 447-nucleotide ribosomal RNA is filed under the name Triticum aestivum (bread wheat). Its description in RNAcentral is "partial small subunit ribosomal RNA". The record is from RNAcentral. Lineage: Eukaryota; Viridiplantae; Streptophyta; Magnoliopsida; Poales; Poaceae.
UCAGUCCUCCUCCGCUACGGCGUCAGCUACCUCAUCGAACACCCACCACCACCCAAUGCCGACUCCCAGUAUCUUGAGCUCGAUACUCACGUCGCCCUGUGGAUGUACUCUACCCUUGCCGACUCCAUCAUCGAUCACGUGAUCGGUGCCGCCACCACCCAUGCCCUCUGGACUCGCAUUCAGAACUACUUUCUCGCCAAUCGUGUUGCGCGCUACAUGAUCCUCAAUCGCCAGUACCGGAACCUCAAGCAGGGUGAUCUCUCCGUCGAUGAGUAUGCCCGCCGCAUGAAGCUGCUCACCGCCGGUCUCGCCGACAUCGACCAUGCCAUCACCGAGAUUGACCUCACCACCCAGUUCCUUCACGGCCUCGAUCAGCACCUCGACACCAUCCGCGUCGUCUUGGGUGACACUGUCCCCUUGCCGCCAUUUGAGACGGUCUUCUCGCGG